Molecule: regulatory RNA element, 89 nt
Rfam family: Peptidase-S11 RNA
About the family: Enterobacteria. Environment (Termite gut, fungus grower)
Source: Rfam
AGUAUGAUGCAGCUGCCAGCCCCCGUGUGGCCUCACUUUUCACGGAUGGCGGCCUGUGUAUUGCACAGCAAAACAUCAACCCGCUUAAG